GUGUCAGCAGCCGCGGUAAUACGUAGGUGACAAGCGUUAUCCGGAUUUAUUGGGCGUAAAGCGCACGCAGGCGGUCUAUCAAGUCUGACGUGAAAUCUCUCGGCUUAACCGGGAGCGGUCGUUGGAAACUGAUGGACUUGAGGCGAUGAGAGGGGUGUGGAAUUCCCGGUGUAGUGGUGGAAUGCGUAGAUAUCGGGAGGAACAUCAGUGGCGAAAGCGGCACCCUGGCAUUAGCCUGACGCUCAUGUGCGAAAGCGUGGGGAGCGAACGGGAUUAGAUACCCCUGUAGUCC
This 292-nucleotide ribosomal RNA is filed under the name uncultured bacterium. Its description in RNAcentral is "partial 16S ribosomal RNA". It matches the Rfam family "Bacterial small subunit ribosomal RNA", at positions 505 to 796 of the family's 1533-position model. The record is from RNAcentral.